CUUCUUUGAGAAUGUCCCACUGGAUGUAGACUUCCUCAUUCCUUUAGGUGAAGAUUCUUCAAUAUUUUUCUUCAUUUUGCCUUUAUCUUUAGCUCUUCGAUCUUCUUCUACAUCCUCAUUGGCAUUUCGAGUUAACACAAUUUAUGUUGCUUAAUCAAAAGAUUUAAUGGUGGGAGUCUUCAGUGUAAGCUUAUGAAGAUCAGUAAAGGCUUCCAGAUGGUGAUCCAGAUGAACAGUGAAG
This 241-nucleotide long non-coding RNA is filed under the name Olea europaea (common olive). RNAcentral describes it as "long non-coding RNA (OEUR_LNC010473)". The record is from RNAcentral. Lineage: Eukaryota; Viridiplantae; Streptophyta; Magnoliopsida; Lamiales; Oleaceae.